This 763-nucleotide long non-coding RNA is filed under the name Oncorhynchus kisutch (coho salmon). RNAcentral describes it as "lncRNA (ENSOKIG00005023682.1)". Lineage: Eukaryota; Metazoa; Chordata; Actinopteri; Salmoniformes; Salmonidae. The record is from RNAcentral.
AUGUACUGCUCAUCCCGCACCAGGAACCCGGUUGUAAAUGUACUGCUCAUCCCGCACCAGGAACCCGGUUGUAAAUGUACUGCUCAUCCCGCACCAGGAACUCGGUUGCAUAAAACAUUGGAAGAUAAAGUUUGGUUUAAAUUUAAGUCAGUUGCUCCCCCAAAAAAUGUUAAGGCAAAUUUCCUCCUUAAAUUAAAUGAAAUAUUUAGGUCCCUUAACUGCAUCAUUCAGUAUGGAUAUCAAUGUAAACCGUAUGGAUAUCAAUGUAAACAGUAUGGAUAUCAAUGUAAACAGCAUUCAGUAUGGAUAUCAAUGUAAACAGUAUGGAUAUCAAUGUAAACAUUAUGGAUAUCAAUGUAAACAGCAUCCAGUAUGGAUAUCACUGUAAACAGUAUGGAUAUCAAUGUAAACAGUAUUCAGUAUGGAUAUCAAUGUAAACCGCAUUCAGUAUGGAUAUCAAUGUAAACAGCAUUCAGUAUGGUCCCAUUUAGACCACUGGCAAGGUACAAUACCAGGUGUCUUCGGGUUCCACUCAGAUAGGAUUCUAGACCUGAUUCAAAGUGUUUUCCACAAUAUCAAAUUAAAGUUUAUUUAAAGUGCAUUUAGCAACACACAUUACAUUAAAACAAUAACACAUUACAUUAAAACAACACACAUUACAUUAAAACAACACACAUUACAUUAAAACAACACAUAUUACAUUAAAACAACACACAUUACAUUAAAACAAUAACACAUUACAUUAAAACAAUAACACAAGAAC